AUAUUUUUUGAGCUUGUCAAAUAUAAAAUACUUUAACCGUCUAGUUUUUAUUUUAUUAGACUUUGAAAAUAUCAGGUACCAUAUUAAUUAUUUUGAUAAAAAUGGCAUAAUUUAGUCAAUGAAUACCGAUACUAAUUUUAUAAUAACAAAGAAACACUUUUUUUAUCAAGAGUGACCCGAGAGACACACAAACAAUUUGCAAGGAAAAUAAAAAAAAAGUAAAAAAAAGUUGCCUCUUCUGGGGCUUGAACCCGCACCCCGUAUUUUCAAUGUCUGGCCUAUAUGAUUAUGUGGGUUAUAUUUUAAAAAUCUAUUUAUAGAUAAUUUAUAUUUAGAAACAAACUGAUCUUACUGGAAUCCCGUAAUCUAUAUUUAGCCAUGGCUAAGUUGCAUAUGGAUAGAAAUAUAAAAUCCCCUAUUCUUUUUGUAAUGAGUAGAUUAACAAAUUGCACCACUUGUUGGUGUUACUCAACACCAAAAUGUGCAAAAUGUGUUGUUUAAUUGUCUAUAUUUGAUUUUAAAUUAGAUCUUUCAAAAUUUUGGAUAUUGAAACGAUAAUAAUAACCUUAUCCUUAUAACAGAGUUAAGUUUUUCACAAGGAAUGUAAGAUCCCUACAACAGUAGGUAAGGUUAAGUAAUGGGUUGUGUUUAAUCUUACAUCGCAACAGAAGAAGAUACUGACUUAUAUUAGAUACUUAAGUAUACAUAAACUGUUGAAAGAAGUUAUAUUGGUGAGUUCAGAUAGAAAGACAAAGGGAGAUAAAAAAAACAAAACAACAACAACAAAAAGAAACCAGAACAAAUGACCAGUGAUUUAAUCUUUAUCGAUAAUUGAAAAUUAAUUGUUAGUCGAAGCGUUCCAAUUCGAUCUUUCAAUAUAUAUGUGAUCUGCAAAGAUACAUUUUCUGUAAGUCAGUAUACUAUUUAAUAGUACAUGGCUGUACAUUGAUAUACAGCUUAUCGACAAAGCUCUUAUGUGUUGAUAAAGAAGAAGUGACUUUGUCCACAAACACAAAGAUGUGAAGGUAUGAUAGAUAAAAGAUUUUCGGCCAAUGAGCAGAAGUUGUUCUUCGGAAGUGUGUGUAAAAUCCGGUGGGUUCUUUUACCAGAGUAAGAAUAUUACGGUACAUUUUGAAUGAAAGGGGAGAUAUUCUGUUUAAAUAGCGAUACAGUUUUAGAGUUUAAGAUUGUUAGAGGUUCCAGUUGUGGACGGCAAAAAGGAGUUAAAAUAUAGCGUGGUACGAACUCUGGGAGGUCUAAAACAGUUUUGAUGUCGUCAAUUGUGUGAUGUUUCAUUCGUUGGAACUAUAAGCAUUUCAGAAUGAUAAAGCGGACCCAGAUUUUAGUCAUUUUAUAAAAAAGAACGAGUUUGUGUUUUGGUUUAAUAAUGAAAUUCAAGGGAUUCCCAUCCUAUAUAGGACAUGGGUUUGGUAAUUUGCACCUUUUGUUGUGCACAAUCCUCUAAACAGCUGUCUCAACCAGAACAUUUUUCGAUAGUUUCCUUCUCGUAGGCGGUACAGUUAUCGAAGGUUUCACCACCAUAUUCAUAUAGUGGACAACUUAAGAAAACAUUUUUUUCCAGUAAGAGACGAUCAAGCUUCGCAUUACUGUGAUACGUGUAUAUAAUAAAUGUGAAUGCUCCGUCUGAGAUAGGAAGAGGAAAAUACGCCGAGAUGGCUGUGAUGUGUAAUUUCCUUAAGAGCUUCCCUAUUCAUCUCUAGGUUUGGAUAGGUUUAAUUGCCAGUUUUGCGAGUCAAGUAAUGGGUUGUGUUUAAUCUUGCAUCGCAACAGAAGAAGAUACUGACUUAUUUUAGAUACUUAAGUAUACAUAAACUGUUGAAAGAAGUUAUAUUGGUGAGUUCAGAUAGAAAGACAAAGGGAGAUAAAACAACAACAACAACAACAACAACCAAAAAGAAACCAGAACAAAUGACAAGUGAUUUAAUCUUUAUCGAUAAUUGAAAAUUAAUUGUUAGUCGAAGCGUUCCAAUUCGAUCUUUCAAUAUAAAUACGAGUAUGUGAUCUGCAAAGAUACAUUUUCUGUAAGUCAGUAUACUAUUUAAUAGUACAUGGCUGUACAUUGAUAUACAGCUUAUCGACAAAGCUCUUAUGUGUUGAUAAAGACGAAGUGAAUUUGUCCACAAACACAAAGAUGUGAAGGUAUGAUAGAUAAAAGAUUUUCGGCCAAUGAGCAGAAGUUGUUCUUCGGAAGUGUGUGUAAAAUCCGGUGGGUUCUUUUACCAGAGUAAGAAUAUUACGGUACAUUUUGAAUGAAAGGGGAGAUAUUCUAGUUAAAUAGCGAUACAGUUUUAGAGUUUAAGAUUGUCAGAGGUUCCAGUUGUGGACGGCAAAAAGAAGUUAAAAUAUAGCGUGGUACGAGCUCUGGGAGGUCUAAAAUAGUUUUGAUGUCGUAAAUUGUGUGAUGUUUCAUUCGUUGGAACUUAAAGGAUUUCAGAAUGAUAAAGCGGACCCAGAUUUUAGUCAUUUUAUAAAAAAGAACGAGUUUGUGUUUUGGUUUAAUAAUGAAAUUCAAGGGAUUCCCAUCCUACAUAGGACAUGGGUUUGGCAAUUGGCACAUUUUGUUGUGCACAAUCCUCUAAACAGCUGUCUCAACCAGAACUUUUUUCGAUAGUUUCCUUCUCGUAGGCGGUACAGUUAUCGAAGGUUACACCACCAUAUUCAUAUAGUGGACAACUUAAGAAAAUAUUUUUUUCCAGUAAGAGACGAUCAAGCUUCGCAUUACUGUGAUACGUGUAUAUAAUAAAUGUGAAUGCUCCGCCUGAGAUAGGAAGAGGAAAAUACGCCGAGAUGGCUGUGAUGUGUAAUUUCCUUAAGAGCUUCCCUAUUCAUCUCUAGGUUUGGAUAGGUUUAAUUGCCAGUUUUGCGAGUCAAGGUAAGAUAUUCUGUUUUCUUCCACCCAGCUGGAGAGGGUACAGCGAUCAGAGUUAAGAGUGGUAGUAUAGUAAAAGUAGGAUCAUUGAAAAUCAGCUAUAGCUGCCAGCAAAGAGGCGAACAUUGGCUUGUAUAUGAAUAGCUUUCAUUAAUUUACGCAAGGUACUAUUGCAAUAAUGUGUUUCUAUGGUUGAUAGUUAUAAUAGUUUUUACAACAUUUUCUAUGGUUUGUAGUACAUGUAUUUUUAACUUUUACAAAAUUGAGCUUGAUAUUGAUCAUUUGACAAUAUAUAACCAGCAUGCCCGAAAAAUUCAGAACGAUUUUACAGAGGAUAUUGAAUGAGUGUAUGUUCAAUACUGAAUUUAUUGCACGAGUUGAAUAAAUUAUAUAAUGCGAGCCUCUGGCGAGCAUAAAUUUUAUUUUAUUCAACGAGUGCAAUAAAUUCAAUUAUGAACUUACACGAAUUUAAUAUUCUAUUUAUCAUAUACCCAACAUAAAGACCGUUUAAUGUGAAAUAAGAGUCAUUUUUCAUUGAUGCGCCUAUAGUAUAACGCUAACAUUUAGCGCGUCUUUACACUAUGUUUGUAUAACGCUAAUGACGUCACGUCAAAAUAUAUGCACGGCCGUGCAAUACCAUAUUUAUGGAGUCGCGAAAUCGGAACGGGUGUGUGAUAAAAUGUUUUACGUUAGACAAUUUAGAAUGUAGUUAUUUAUAUCUUCUACCAAUUUUCAUAAUAUUCGUAAAAGAUUUACAGGAAAGGGUCCACAAUAAUGUUGUUAGAACGUUUUGCCCAAUCCUUUUGUAUGUACACUUGAUGAUUAUGUUUGUAAAAUUGUGAAAUUGAAUAUUGUUUGUAUAGUUACGCUGUACAUAUUACUAAACUAACCCAAUAAAAAGUUAAAGUUAAGGAA
Ruditapes philippinarum (Manila clam) is the source of this 3805-nucleotide long non-coding RNA. RefSeq lists it as uncharacterized. The record is from RefSeq and is a predicted model, not a curated record. Lineage: Eukaryota; Metazoa; Mollusca; Bivalvia; Venerida; Veneridae. The transcript is spliced from 4 exons.